UUGUCCUUCUAUGGGUUCAUUAGCAAGUUGCCUUUUAUAUUUGUCUCUGUAGGUUUGAUGCUGAGACUUCAAAGACAGUAGAUACAGAAGUGGGACUUUAGAUUGCGAACUUUUAGAGAAACUGUGUUCUUGCUCUUGGCAGUAGCUUCAUUCUCCUUGCUGGGGAGGCAGAAGGUAUGUGAUGUAUUUUUUCUCUGUAGAUACCUCCUCCUAUGGUUUGAAUAGUUAGGUUUUCUCUCUCUUAUAACUGGCCGUGGCAGUGGAAAUUAAUCCAUAUUCCUGUUGAGAGGAUUUAUUUCUGUCACCUUAUAUUUAUGAUUAUGUAUGUAUUAUAUGCUCACCUAACUUGUAC
This 352-nucleotide long non-coding RNA is filed under the name Apteryx owenii (little spotted kiwi). RNAcentral describes it as "lncRNA (ENSAOWG00000006948.1)". The record is from RNAcentral. Lineage: Eukaryota; Metazoa; Chordata; Aves; Apterygiformes; Apterygidae.